RNAcentral lists this ribosomal RNA (460 nucleotides) under uncultured bacterium. Its description in RNAcentral is "partial 16S ribosomal RNA". It matches the Rfam family "Bacterial small subunit ribosomal RNA", at positions 28 to 507 of the family's 1533-position model. The record is from RNAcentral.
GACGAACGCUGGCGGCGUGCUUAACACAUGCAAGUCGAGCGGUAAGGCCUCUUCGGGGGUACACGAGCGGCGAACGGGUGCGUAACACGUGGGUGACCUGCCCUCAGCUCUGGGAUAAGCCUGGGAAACUGGGUCUAAUACCGGAUAUGACCUUUCCUCGCAUGGGGUUUGGUGGAAAGUUUUUUCGGCUGGGGAUGGGCCCGCGGCCUAUCAGCUUGUUGGUGGGGUGAUGGCCUACCAAGGCGACGACGGGUAGCCGGCCUGAGAGGGCGACCGGCCACACGGGGACUGAGACACGGCCCAGACUCCUACGGGAGGCAGCAGUGGGGAAGAUUGCGCAAUGGGCGGAAGCCUGACGCAGCGACGCCGCGUGGGGGAUGACGGCCUUCGGGUUGUAAACCUCUUUCGACCCCGACGAAUUUGGACGGUAGGGAUAGAAGAAGCACCGGCCAACUACGUG